RNAcentral lists this ribosomal RNA (253 nucleotides) under uncultured bacterium. RNAcentral describes it as "partial 16S ribosomal RNA". It matches the Rfam family "Bacterial small subunit ribosomal RNA", at positions 524 to 776 of the family's 1533-position model. The record is from RNAcentral.
GACGUAGGGCGCAAGCGUUGUCCGGAAUUACUGGGCGUAAAGAGCUCGUAGGUGGUUUGUCGCGUUGUUCGUGAAAACUCACAGCUUAACUGUGGGCGUGCGGGCGAUACGGGCAGACUUGAGUACUGCAGGGGAGACUGGAAUUCCUGGUGUAGCGGUGGAAUGCGCAGAUAUCAGGAGGAACACCGGUGGCGAAGGCGGGUCUCUGGGCAGUAACUGACGCUGAGGAGCGAAAGCGUGGGGAGCGAACAGG